This 107-nucleotide unclassified non-coding RNA is filed under the name soil metagenome. RNAcentral's name for it is "partial internal transcribed spacer 1". The record is from RNAcentral.
GUGAACGCCCUCACGGGCUUAUAACUAUUCCAAACCUCUGUGAACCGUGCCCUUCGGGGCUAUUUUACAAACACGGUGUAAUGAACGUCAUAUAUCAUAACAAAACA